RNAcentral lists this small RNA (274 nucleotides) under Vigna angularis var. angularis. RNAcentral's name for it is "Non-protein coding transcript". The record is from RNAcentral. Lineage: Eukaryota; Viridiplantae; Streptophyta; Magnoliopsida; Fabales; Fabaceae.
AAAUGAGUCCCUCACUCACUCACUGACCCUUCCUUCUUCCUUCAUUUCGGAUAAAAAAAUACCCACAAAUCCUUUCUUCUUCCUUUUUCUCAGUAGAAGAAACCCUCAGAUGGUUUUGUUUCCCCAUCUCACACCCUUACUUCUUUCUUCUUCCUUCCCUCCUUAUAGCCACAUGUUCUUCCUUUGCCACGUCUUCAUUCAGACCGCAUCAUCAGCCACGUUCAUUUUCUUCUCGAGAGCUCACCAUCAACGAUGGUACAGAGCCCCAAAGCUG